Long non-coding RNA from Oreochromis niloticus (Nile tilapia), 1443 nucleotides. RefSeq lists it as uncharacterized. The transcript is spliced from 3 exons. Lineage: Eukaryota; Metazoa; Chordata; Actinopteri; Cichliformes; Cichlidae. The record is from RefSeq and is a predicted model, not a curated record.
AGAGGACACAGACACGUCACUGAGGCGCUGAAGCACACAGAGGGGCGGGAACGACAGAGGACACGCCUCAAGGGCGGGGGGACACACACGUCCAAAGGGGGGGACGCAUAUAAAAAUGUUUGACUAAAAUAAAAAGAUGAAGCUUCAGCGUCAGUUUGGCAGAACUUGCCCGCUGAGAUGUGAUGGAUGCCCCCCCCUCACCUCACCUCACCUCACCGCACCGCUGCUCAAGCGUCUAACCCGCCCACUUUCUCACGAUGCCGUGGGAUUUUAUUUUUAUUGUGUUCUCAGUUUGGACAGGUGACCUGUGACCUGAAUGAAUCCACAGGUGGAGACAUUCAGGAAACGUUCCUUUACCUUUUAAACACGCACUUUCCUGUGAAGGUGGAGCUCAGCUGUUCUCUAAUGACCUUCCCUGCAGUUACCUAAAACAGGUUUAGUCCAAUUUCGCUGUGACAGUCUAAGUUUAGCCUGUGAUGUAAUCACACCUGUCACACCUGGAGGCUGACGAGUGGAUGAUGGAUGACACCAGGGAGGAACACACAGACCCUCCUCAGCUCCACACACAGGUGGAGGAGACCCUCCUGACCUCCACCUACCCCGCUGAUCACAGCUGGAGUCUGGGUGGAGCAGUUUUAGCUUCAUUAGAGAAAAACAAGAGUUUUGUUUUGAUCCCGUAAAUGUGAGGAGAGGGGGCGGGGCUUCUGUUGUCAGCACAGCUGCAUUAAGGAGGAAAUUGUGGAUGUUGUUACAGAUCUACACGUGCUACACAAAGGUGAUGACGUCACAUUAAUAAUCGACUACAUGCGAGCCUCUCCUCAGGUAACACACCUGUGUGAGGGUACAGGGCCAAACACGCCCCCCCCCCGGAGACGCAACCGACCGGACAGAAUCGAAGCUCGGACCGGAGGAAAGCCCCUCCUCCCACCGAGUCCGUGUUCAGAAACCUGCAGCAGAUCUUUGUGGAGCUGGCAGCUGUUGAGUUUGGAGCAGAUGUUUGGGAGCUUCCGGGAGAGCCAGCAGGCUCAAACACUGAUUUAUUGCACUAAAACACUUGAAGGUGAUUGCAGUCACACUGCAACACCCGUCUGAGGGACACUUCUGGUUUGCCUCCUGCUGUGAGACCUGAGGCCGGCUCGCUUCCGCACAUUUGUUCUUCAGUCUCUGUGCGGACUGAAGCCCUCAUCGUUCAUACGCAAACAGAUUUAAUAAAGACAAAACUGUGCAGCAGAGGCUCUUUGUCCCAGUUUACUCUCACAGAGAGGGUGGAGGGGAUGUUUAGAGUUGGGAAAGCUGCAGGUAGAUCCUGACUGUGUUCAGAUGCUUCCACCAGAAACUGAUGCAGAAAAGACACAGAGCAUCAUUAGAUCAUUACAAUAAUAAUUAUUAUUACUGAAUAAGUAAUCGCCAUCGGCCCCUCUGGACAAUGGCGUGAUAUGGCAG